This is a non-coding RNA of Pelobates cultripes (western spadefoot toad), 636 nucleotides long. Lineage: Eukaryota; Metazoa; Chordata; Amphibia; Anura; Pelobatidae. The record is from the annotation of a GenBank genome assembly.
AUAACCUAUUUCAACCAAUAAUUUAUUUCCCUUCAUUUGCCCCAAGCAGAUAUCUACCCAUAAAGCUUCCACAUUUUCCUCGUCACACUCCACAUGCCUAAGAUUUGACUUUAACUCAUGAUUGACAUACAAACAUACCCCACCACCCUUCUUGUUUUUCCUAUCCUUCCUAAAUAACAUGUACCCAUUUAAGUUAACUGCCCAGUCAUGUGUCUCAUCCCACCAUGUUUCUGUUAUGCCUAUUUUAUCAUAGUGUUUAGUUUAUGCUAUUGUCUUUAGUUCCCCCAUUUUGUUAUUUAGGCUCCUUGCAUUAGUAAGCAUACAUUUAAUAUUUGCAUGAGUCAUUUGUACUUUUUUUGAAUUUUCAUCAAUACUACAUACCUCCUCUGUUCUGAACUCUCCCCUCCCCCCAUCUCCACCACCCUCAUGCUGAGCUAAAGACCAUCUCAUUUCUAUCCUAUCUCAAUUUUCUAGAUUGCUUUGACCCUCCCCCCUACUGCUAGUUUAAAAUCUCCUCCAACCUUAUAGCCAUCCUAUCCCCCAGCACAGCAGACCAUUUAGGUGCAUUCCAUCAUGACAAUACAGGUUGUACCCAAGCACAUUAAUAUGAUUAAUAUCAAUAUGGCUGUUUGUAUC